Molecule: long non-coding RNA, 511 nt
Filed under: Ovis aries (sheep)
Lineage: Eukaryota; Metazoa; Chordata; Mammalia; Artiodactyla; Bovidae
Description: lncRNA (ENSOARG00000026580.1)
Source: RNAcentral
UCCAGGAAAGACAUAUUUAUCGGGGCCCUGAGAACCUUAGUUGGUCUCAAACCACUCAGUAGUGUGUUCCCAGUGUGUCACAGUAUUUUCUCUGGAAAAUCUAUUUUAUUUUUCUUGUAGGAGUUCUAUCCUGAUGACGUUUAUAGAACACCGUGUGGUUUCGACUAGACAGUGAAACCAGGGCCAACCCAAGUGUUCUCUCUUGUCCACAGCCAGGUGAUGACACCUUCCCCAAGAGGCUGCAGGUUUGAGCAGAAAACGUACCUGGAAGCAUCAAAAGAUUCCUAGCAGAAUUUCAUCCGACUCUGUGGCUGUCUUCUCUCAGGGCCUCAUUAGUGAAGAUGUGGCCUCUGCAAAGUGGCUGCCAGGCGUCCUGCUGAUUUCAUUCCCUGCUGGUGUAGUUGGAUCUUGAUGAGGACUGGAGGGAAAACAAAGGAAAACAAUCUGUGACCCAAAGCCCUUGUGUCAUUUGGGAGAAAAAUGUUCCCAAUGGGACCUUCAGGACUGAACU